RNAcentral lists this ribosomal RNA (442 nucleotides) under uncultured bacterium. RNAcentral describes it as "bacterial SSU rRNA". It matches the Rfam family "Bacterial small subunit ribosomal RNA", at positions 958 to 1401 of the family's 1533-position model. The record is from RNAcentral.
AACGCGAAGAACCUUACCUGGGUUUGACAUCUCCGGACAAACGUAGAGAUACGUCUUUAGUAGCAAUACUACCGGAAGACAGGUGCUGCAUGGCUGUCGUCAGCUCGUGUGGUGACAUGUUGGGUUAAGUCCCGCAACGAGCGCAACCCCUGUCCUUAGUUGCCAGCAUUCAGUUGGGCUCUCUAAGGAGACUGCCGUGGUGAACACGGAGGAAGGUGGGGAUGACGUCAAGUCCUCAUGGCCUUUAUAUCCAGGGCGACACACGUGAUACAAUGGACGGUACAGAGGGAAGCGAAACCGCGAGGUGGAGCCAAUCUCAAAAAGCCGUUCUCAGUUCGGAUUGGAGUCUGCAACUCGACUCCAUGAAGUUGGAAUCGCUAGUAAUCGCGGAUCAGCACGCCGCGGUGAAUACGUUCCCGGGCCUUGUACACACCGCUACAGU